AAUAGAUACCCUGGUAGUCCACGCCGUAAACGAUGAGUGCUAAGUGUUAGAGGGUUUCCGCCCUUUAGUGCUGCAGCUAACGCAUUAAGCACUCCGCCUGGGGAGUACGGUCGCAAGACUGAAACUCAAAGGAAUUGACGGGGGCCCGCACAAGCGGUGGAGCAUGUGGUUUAAUUCGAAGCAACGCGAAGAACCUUACCAGGUCUUGACAUCCCACUGACCGGUAUAGAGAUAAUACCUUUCCCUUCGGGGACAGUGGUGACAGGUGGUGCAUGGUUGUCGUCAGCUCGUGUCGUGAGAUGUUGGGUUAAGUCCCGCAACGAGCGCAACCCUUGAUCUUAGUUGCCAGCAUUUAGUUGGGCACUCUAAGGUGACUGCCGGUGACAAACCGGAGGAAGGUGGGGAUGACGUCAAAUCAUCAUGCCCCUUAUGACCUGGGCUACACACGUGCUACAAUGGAUGGUACAAAGGGCUGCAAGACUGCGAAGUCAAGCCAAUCCCAUAAAACCAUUCUCAGUUCGGAUUGC
This 527-nucleotide ribosomal RNA is filed under the name uncultured bacterium. RNAcentral describes it as "bacterial SSU rRNA". It matches the Rfam family "Bacterial small subunit ribosomal RNA", at positions 777 to 1301 of the family's 1533-position model. The record is from RNAcentral.